Molecule: ribosomal RNA, 636 nt
Filed under: Triticum aestivum (bread wheat)
Lineage: Eukaryota; Viridiplantae; Streptophyta; Magnoliopsida; Poales; Poaceae
Description: partial small subunit ribosomal RNA
Source: RNAcentral
AUGGCCAACAACGAUGAGGCCGGGGGUUCGGGCGGCAAGGCAUUCUGGGAGCUGUCCCAGGAGAUGGCGGAACAACCUCACUUGUACGAGGACGCCGCCUUCCCCACCGAUCCUGAGAGCACUGAUGGUACCGUCGAGGAUGACCCCACUGAUGCCACCACUGAUGGUGCCGCCGAGGAUGCCACCACUGAUGAUGGCGGUGCACGCACAGAUGGCAGCCAACCGAAGAGGCAACGGAAGGACCGGCGCCCGACCGUGCUCCGCACCCUCAAGGAGGAAGUUACUGAAGUGGACUCCGACGGGAAUCCAACGGCGCCCGAACGAAUAGUCAAGGGGUACUCGCUUCAGCUCGGGUGCAUUCUCCGGAGCACUGUCUCGAUCAACACCGAGAACCUGAGGCAUCCUGACCGAGGGAAUUUGCGCAACCUCCUCUUCACGAAGCUGCACGAACGAUACAAGUUCCCCGCUGAAUUUGAAAACACAAGCCUCAAAGGGAAUAAAGUGAACAAUGCUGCCCUCACAAAGAUGAGCAAGGCCCUGUCUACAUGGAAAAGCAAUGUGAAGAGAAUGAUCGAGAAAGGUGAGAGUUAUGAGAAGAUCAAGGAGAAAAAUCCUUCGAUCACCGAAGAUGACUAG